This 2155-nucleotide ribosomal RNA is filed under the name soil metagenome. RNAcentral's name for it is "bacterial LSU rRNA". It matches the Rfam family "Bacterial large subunit ribosomal RNA", at positions 862 to 2925 of the family's 2925-position model. The record is from RNAcentral.
GAAUAGCUUUAGGGCUAGCGUCGUACGGUAGCUGGUAGGGGUAGAGCUCUGUUUUGGAAUGGGGUCCGUGAGGAUACCCACCCUUGACAAACUACGAAUACUAUCAGUGGAACUACGGCAGUUAGAACGUGGGGGCUAAGCUCCACGCUCGAAAGGGAAACAGCCCAGAUCGCCAGCUAAGGUCCCUAAAUAUACGCUAAGUGGGAAACGAAGUGGGAAUUCUCGGACAAUAAGGAUGUUGGCUUAGAAGCAGCCAUUCAUUUAAAGAGUGCGUAACAGCUCACUUAUCAAGAGAUCCUGCGCGGAAAAUGUAACGGGGCUAAAGCGUAUUACCGAAGCUGCGAAUGCUGCACAUCUUAGGAUGUGUGGUUUGGUAGAGGAGCGUUGAUAUCGCAUUGAAGUCAGACUGUAAGGUCUGGUGGAGCGUUAUCAAGUGAGAAUGCUGGAAUGAGUAACCAUAAGGCAGGUGAGAAUCCUGCCCACCGAAAGAGCAAGGUUUCCUGGGCCAUGAUAGUCAUCCCAGGGUUAGUCGGUCCUAAGCCGAGGCGAGCAAGCGUAGGCGAUGGACAACGGGUUAAUAUUCCCGUACCGGUGUUAAUUUGUUGCCAGGUGCGCAUUGGACAAGUAGAAGCGGAUUUUUGGUUAUAUCCGUCUAACUCACCUUUACGAGUGAGGAAUGAAACGGCUGAAAAGUCGAAUUUCUACAGACACGGUGCCUAGAAAAGCCUGGUAGCUUAUGAUUAAUGCCGACCGUACCGCAAACCGACACAGGUGCUCAGGGCGAGUAGCCCCAGGUGUACGAGUGAUUCUUCGUCAAGGAACUCGGCAAUAUAGCGACCGUAACUUCGGAAUAAGGUCCGCCCUGCCACAGUGUUCCCAAUAAAUAUUCAAUCAACUUGGCUAUAUUGCUAAGGCCACACUACUCUGUGUGUUUGGCCUUUCCAAUAUACGACAUAGGAGAUUGGGAGUGCUGUGGCAGGGCCGCAGCUAAAGAACCCAUGCAACUGUUUACUAAAAACACAGGUCUCUGCUAACACGAAAGUGGAAGUAUAGGGGCUGACGCCUGCCCGGUGCUGGAAGGUUAAGGGGAAAGCUUCACGGCUAGAACUGAAGCCCCAGUGAACGGCGGCGGUAACUAUAACCGUCCUAAGGUAGCGAAAUUCCUUGUCAGGUAAGUUCUGACCCGCACGAAUGGCGUAAUGAUAUGGGUACUGUCUCGACGAAGAGCUCGGUGAAAGUGCAUUGACGGUAAAGAUGCCGUCUGUCCGCAGCAGGACGAAAAGACCCCGUGGAGCUUUACUACAGUUUGGCAUUGAGCCAGGCGUAUAUAUGUGUAGCAUAGGUGGGAGACUUUGAAGCUGACGCGCUAGCGUCGGUGGAGUCACCGGUGAAAUACCACCCUUAUAUGCGUUUUGUUCUUACCUGUGCCUUUAUGUGCCCCUCAUUUUGAUGGGAGGUAGAUACAGGCACGGGAACAGUGUCUGAUGGGUAGUUUAACUGGGGCGGUUGCCUCCUAAAGAGUAGCGGAGGCGUUCAAAGGUUGGCUAAAUACGGAUGGAAAUCGUAUUGAUAGUGUAUACGCAUAAGCCAGCUUGACUGCAAGGCAUACAAGCCGAGCAGGCACGAAAGUGGGAGUAAGUGAACCGCUGUUACGCACCUUCGGGUGCAUGAGAGUGGUAUUGACAGCGCAAACGGAUAAAAGUUACCCCGGGGAUAACAGGCUUAUAGCGCCCAAUAGUUCACAUAGACGGCGCUGUUUGGCACCUCGAUGUCGGCUCAUCUCAUCCUGGGGCUGAAGCAGGUCCCAAGGGUCCGGCUGUUCGCCGGUUAAAGAGGUACGUGAGCUGGGUUUAGAACGUCGUGAGACAGUUCGGAUUAUAUCCGCUGUGGACGAUAGGAAAUUUGCGAGGAUUUGUCUCUAGUACGAGAGGACCGAGACGAACGCACCGCUGGUGUAUGGAUUGUUCUACCAAGGGCAUUGUCCAGUAGCUAUAGUGCGGAACAGAUAAGCGCUGAAAGCAUAUUAAGCGCGAAGCUAACCUCAAGAUUAGAUUUCCCCAUGAUCCCCCAGAAAGACCAUCUGGUUGAUAGGCGCAACGUGGAAGUGCAGUAAUGCAUGGAGCGGAAGCGUACUAAUAGGGACAUUGACUUUUUA